RNAcentral lists this ribosomal RNA (244 nucleotides) under uncultured Staphylococcus sp. RNAcentral's name for it is "partial 16S ribosomal RNA". It matches the Rfam family "Bacterial small subunit ribosomal RNA", at positions 96 to 334 of the family's 1533-position model. Lineage: Bacteria; Bacillati; Bacillota; Bacilli; Caryophanales; Staphylococcaceae. The record is from RNAcentral.
CGGCGGACGGGUGAGUAACACGUGGAUAACCUACCUAUAAGACUGGGAUAACUUCGGGAAACCGGAGCUAAUACCGGAUAAUAUAUUGAACCGCAUGGUUCAAUAGUGAAAGACGGUUUUGCUGUCACUUAUAGAUGGGUCCGCGCCGCAUUAGCUAGUUGGUAAGGUAACGGCUUACCAAGGCAACGAUGCGUAGCCGACCUGAGAGGGUGAUCGGCCACACUGGAACUGAGACACGGUCCAG